ACCGACCCCAGACGAAUUGUUUUGGUGCAGCCCAGCAUUCUUGGAGUUGGCAUCAUUGAUGGACAAAUUCAAGGCAAUACAACCAGGACGGUCGUAAUUCAAGAGGGUAAAAAAUUACUUUUGUUUAAAAAAAAAUGAGUUUUUAAACAAAUUUUUUUGGUACGGUUAAAAAUUUACGACUGAGGUGUGGUACUGCUGGUAAUCCAAGGCCGGAGGUGUCCUGGAUGAGAGCAGACGGAUCUCUUACACAUACAGGAUCAUGGCAAACUAGUGACGUACUUGGACCAACAUUUAAUAUAACCCAAGUUCAUCGCGAUCACAUGGGAGUGUAUCUAUGCGAGGCUGACAACGGCAUUCCUCCGCCUUCUUACCGCACCGUCAACGUGGAAGUUCAUUUUCCUCCUGUGAUUCGUACUGAAAGUUCAUCGGUUGGGUUGCCAACGGAAGUUCGGUGGUUUUGGAAUGUGUGGUGGAGGCAUUCCCCGAGUCUCUUUGCCAUUGGGAACGAGCAGACGGCAGAUCGAUCGACAGCACACAUAAGGCAUUCCUGAGAGACUAAGGAAAAUACAAAGUUCAAAUGACAUUCAAUCGUACUAUCACAAAUCUUGCCCUAACGCAUAAUGUGUUCAGCAAUUACAAUGUUGUACAAACACAUACUGAAAUCGCCUUCACGCGCUUUGUGUAAU
This is a long non-coding RNA of Daphnia carinata, 686 nucleotides long. RefSeq lists it as uncharacterized. The record is from RefSeq and is a predicted model, not a curated record. Lineage: Eukaryota; Metazoa; Arthropoda; Branchiopoda; Diplostraca; Daphniidae. The transcript is spliced from 6 exons.